UACGAAGGGGGCGAGCGUUAUUCGGAAUCACUGGGCGUAAAGCGUGCGUAGGCUGUUUGGCAAGUUGGAAGUGAAAGCCCAGGGCUCAACCCUGGAAUUGCUUUCAAAACUGCCAGACUAGGAUCCGGGAGAGGAUAGCGGAAUUCCAGGUGUAGCGGUGAAAUGCGUAGAUAUCUGGAGGAACACCGGUGGCGAAGGCGGCAUCCUGGACCGGGAUUGACACUGAGGCGCGAAAGCCAGGGGAGCAAACGGG
RNAcentral lists this ribosomal RNA (253 nucleotides) under uncultured bacterium. Its description in RNAcentral is "partial 16S ribosomal RNA". It matches the Rfam family "Bacterial small subunit ribosomal RNA", at positions 524 to 776 of the family's 1533-position model. The record is from RNAcentral.